UUUUGAAUGUUUUUAGCCAAAGAUUCUGAUUAUAAUUUUUUAUAAAUGUGGCUGCUAGUAGAUAAACUCCAAUAUUGAGAUUGAAUGGCCUAGUUUUGUUUUAUAUUUUGGUUUAAUUUAUAUGCCAUCUGAUUAAUUUUUUUAUAUCUUGGCUGUUAUAGUGAGUUCAUGUAUUGAAUAAGUUGUUUAGGUAUUGAAUAAGUUCUGUAACAUUUAUAUGUGCUUUCGUUGCUCCAAUGCUUGCUGCUUGGUUUAGAUUGAAAUAUCCCAUAUUGUUUCUAUGAUAUAGUUUCCUAGGAUUUCAAGGUCUAAAUUAUUCCGUCGUGGCGUGUCACCUCUGCUGCCCUCUCUUAUAAUCGGCUACCUCUCAUUAUAAACAAUCAUUCCCCUUUUCUAAUCUUUCUAUGAUCUCUAUCUUAUAUAUAGGUUGAUAAACAAAUCAGGUCUCUAACUAGUAUUCGGUUCAUUAGAUCUUCUUGUUAAUUAGUUUCCCAUGCUGUCUGAUCUUUCUAGGCAUAUAUUUGAUCCAAGAUCAGUGGUUAGUAAUUCUGCACUUGUGGUUUUAUUCAAUUUGUCUGGUCUUUUGGCUUUUAUAUAUAUUUCUUUAACUUUAGUUUUUCUGUGUCUGUGUUGUUGGAUGUUGACUGUAAUUUUUAGAAUUACUCUCCAAAGAGAGAUAUUAGAAAUUUAAGUGGCAUGUCGCCUGCAUAUGUCAUUAGGAUUGUAUUGCUUUCUAAUUCUUUUCUUUCCAACAUUGGCUUUAGAAUAUGCUGGUAUAUAUGUUAGAGUGAGGUGCUCAAAAUGACACUAGUGACUUUUGCUAUACCCCUGAAGAAAAAGAAGGAUUGUUAAUACCUGUAUUUUUAGCUGUUAUUAUAUAGAUUAUGAUCAUAUAUAAAGACCCAUGUGUGCAUAAUGCAACAUGGGUGUUAUCUACAAAAUUCAUGGGGAUCUGGAGUCAGAAAUUUCUUGUUAUGAAAGUUGCUUAGUUAAUUACUUGUUCAAUAAGCUUUUCCCUCUGAUGCGUUGUUUAUGCUUGUAUGUGCAGGUAUCUGACUGUCUCUCCAAACUUUGUGAUGGAAAAAUAUAAAAUGGCCAAUGCAUUAAGUGAUUUAGGCACAAAGAUUUGGCUUCUUUCUGGUGACGAUAUAAAUAUGAGUAUAAGAAAUAGAGAUAUGCUUAUUUUAUCCAGUAUGAACAAUACAAAUGACUUAGGGGCAUUGAAUUGGAAUCAAAUUCUUAAAAGAUGAUUUAAUUUGUCUGCUGAUUAAUGGUGAGUAAUGAUGACCGUGAACACACCUUAAAUCAGCUUCUCACUGUAAGACUCUGAAAUCUAGCUUACUUUUUCUGAAUCACUUUUAAAUGAUGUUAUUAUAGCUAUUUUGUUGCUAUUCUCGGUUGGCUCUUUGUAUGCUUUUGUGGCAGGUUUGUGGUGGUGGAUUAAAUGAGCCAUACGUUGAGCUGAAGAGGCUUGUGAAUUCACAAGAAAAGUUGUACCAGAUGGCUAGCUAGUUGCAUAUUUAAUAUGUUUAGUAUUUUUGUAAGGCAUAAUAGUAUAGAUAGAGCAGUUGUUGAAUUUUGACUAUAUUCAAAUCUUGUAUGAAUUCUUUUUUAUGAUAAUAAUAUAAAAUUAAAUAUUUUGGAUGAUA
This 1649-nucleotide long non-coding RNA is filed under the name Salvia miltiorrhiza (redroot sage). RNAcentral's name for it is "long non-coding RNA (SMIL_LNC008171)". The record is from RNAcentral. Lineage: Eukaryota; Viridiplantae; Streptophyta; Magnoliopsida; Lamiales; Lamiaceae.